This 643-nucleotide ribosomal RNA is filed under the name uncultured bacterium. RNAcentral describes it as "bacterial SSU rRNA". It matches the Rfam family "Bacterial small subunit ribosomal RNA", at positions 232 to 885 of the family's 1533-position model. The record is from RNAcentral.
CGCGGCCUAUCAGCUUGUUGGUGGGGUAAUGGCCUACCAAGGCGACGACGGGUAGCCGGCCUGAGAGGGCGACCGGCCACACUGGGACUGAGACACGGCCCGGACUCCUACGGGAGGCAGCAGUGGGGAAUAUUGCACAAUGGGCGAAAGCCUGAUGCAGCGACGCCGCGUGAGGGAUGACGGCCUUCGGGUUGUAAACCUCUUUCAGCAGGGACGAAGCGUAAGUGACGGUACCUGCAGAAGAAGCGCAGGCCGACUACGUGCCAGCAGCCGCGGUAAGACGUAGGGCGCGAGCGUUGUCCGGAUUUAUUGGGCGUAAAGAGCUCGUAGGCGGCUUGUCGCGUCGACUGUGAAAACCCGCAGCUCAACUGCGGGCCUGCAGUCGAUACGGGCAGGCUAGAGUUCGGUAGGGGAGACUGGAAUUCCUGGUGUAGCGGUGGAAUGCGCAGAUAUCAGGAGGAACACCGGUGGCGAAGGCGGGUCUCUGGGCCGAUACUGACGCUGAGGAGCGAAAGCGUGGGGGGCGAACAGGAUUAGAUACCCUGGUAGUCCACGCUGUAAACGUUGGGCGCUAGGUGUGGGGGACCUCUCCGGUUCUCUGUGCCGCAGCUAACGCAUUAAGCGCCCCGCCUGGGGAGUACGG